Molecule: unclassified non-coding RNA, 345 nt
Organism: Erinaceus europaeus (western European hedgehog)
Lineage: Eukaryota; Metazoa; Chordata; Mammalia; Eulipotyphla; Erinaceidae
Gene: 7SK
Rfam family: 7SK RNA
About the family: 7SK was discovered as an abundant small nuclear RNA in the mid-70s but a possible function has only recently been suggested. Two independent studies have found that 7SK RNA binds the CDK9/cyclin T complex (known as elongation factor P-TEFb).
Source: Ensembl
GGAUGUGGCUGUGACAUCUGUCACCCCAUUGAUAGCCAGGGUUGAUUCGGCUGAUCUGGCUAGCUAGGCGGUGUCCCCCCCCCACACACACACACGGCUCCAUGUGCAUCCCUCCCGAAGCUGCGUGCUCCAGUUAAGAGGACAGCCUGCACUAAACUGAGACUGACCUGCCUUCAGUCAAGGGUAUGAGUAGCUGUGCUCCCUUGCUAGAACUUCCAAACAAACUCUCAAAAAAUUCCCUUUCCUGAUUUGAUUCCCAGUAUUAGCAAUAGCCAGAGUUAAGGGUGCUCUGGUCAAAAAACAAGCAAGUCGUCUGGGAGGUGGCACAGUUGAGUGAUAGUGCUU